GCGAAUUAGCGGGCUGGAGCGCGGGGAUGUCGGAGGUGGCGAGGUUUAAGCGGAAUUAGUGGGGGUAAAGCGUUGGCGGGGGGUUUUGUAAGCCGGAUGGGAAAUCCCCGGGCUUAACCUGGGAAUGGCAUUUGGGACUGCAAGGCUGGAGUGCGGCAGAGGAGACUGGAAUUCCUGGUGUAGCAGUGAAAUGCGUAGAUAUCAGGAGGAAUACCGAUGGCGAAGGCAGGUCUCUGGGCUGACACUGACGCUCAUGCACGAAAGCGUGGGGAGCAAACAGGAUUAGAUACCCUUGUAGUC
This 300-nucleotide ribosomal RNA is filed under the name uncultured Ignicoccus sp. RNAcentral's name for it is "bacterial SSU rRNA". The stretch from base 52 to 300 matches the Rfam family "Bacterial small subunit ribosomal RNA", at positions 547 to 795 of the family's 1533-position model. The record is from RNAcentral. Lineage: Archaea; Thermoproteati; Thermoproteota; Thermoprotei; Desulfurococcales; Desulfurococcaceae.